Molecule: long non-coding RNA, 779 nt
Filed under: Homo sapiens (human)
Lineage: Eukaryota; Metazoa; Chordata; Mammalia; Primates; Hominidae
Description: HSALNT0314897
Source: RNAcentral
CUACGCUGGGCGGCUCCAAACCCGCCGCGAGGGCUGAGGUGUUCACACCUGCCCACGGCAGCCUGCCUCGCCCUCAAGCGCCUCAAAGCUUCCUAAGCGCUUACAUUGGUCUUGGGACAGCCGACUUUGGCUUCUUUGUUUGUUUGAGGGACCGCGGAAGUGGCGGGGAAUGUGCCCCCGCUUGAGACCGCUUAUUGUGAGCCCUCAACGGAAAUCCUGCACGGAAGGCAACCGCCUCCCCGCUCGCGUUAGAAGGCUUCAUUUGCUCUGAGUUAUCAUUGAGAACUAAAUGGAGAAGAAAAGAACUGAAGGCCUGAAGAUAUGUCAUCUGUAGAAAAGAUGGACAUCUGAAAUCAUCAAACCCUUGAGAGAAACAGCCCUCAUUCUUUUAUGAGACAACCUGGAAGAAAACAGGACUCUGAAGAUUUGUCUCCAUAUUCUCUGGAAAGAUGUACUCUGUUUGCAAUAAGAGGGAGCCACAUGGUUUAUUAGAUGGUUAUUAAUUGAGCAUUCUGUGCAAAGAAGUUUGUGCCUUAGAUUUAGAAUUCCACCCUCAGUUGGAAUACAGAUGAUCCCUAACAAGUCACAUGAAAAAAUGAACUGUGGAGCCAGAAGAGUGAGUUCUUGGAGAACUAAGGGCCAGAGACCUGUGAGCAAGAUUUGAUAAUUUUAUAAAAAUUAAAAGACGAUUUGAAAUGUUAUUGGUCUUACUAAAACUUUUACUUGUGAACUGCAAUUGAUGACAUGAUCACUUGUGCCAAUUAUAAUUUUAUACCAAA